Molecule: ribosomal RNA, 373 nt
Filed under: uncultured bacterium
Lineage: Bacteria
Description: bacterial SSU rRNA
Rfam family: Bacterial small subunit ribosomal RNA
Source: RNAcentral
GUAGGAUGCGAGCGUUGUCCGGAUUUAUUGGGCGUAAAGAGUUCGUAGGCUGUUUGCUAAGUCUGAUGUUAAAGAUCGGGGCUCAACCCCGGGACUGCAUUGGAUACUGGCAGACUGGAGUGCGGUAGAGGCUAGUGGAAUUCCCAGUGUAGCGGUGAAAUGCGUAGAUAUUGGGAAGAACACCGGUGGCGUAGGCGACUAGCUGGGCCGUAACUGACGCUGAGGAACGAAAGCCAGGGGAGCGAAUGGGAUUAGAUACCCCAGUAGUCCUGGCCGUAAACGAUGGAUACUAGGCGUAGCGGGUAUCGACCCCUGCUGUGCCGCAGCUAACGCGAUAAGUAUCCCGCCUGAGUAGUACGGCCGCAAGGUUGAA